Molecule: ribosomal RNA, 393 nt
Filed under: Triticum aestivum (bread wheat)
Lineage: Eukaryota; Viridiplantae; Streptophyta; Magnoliopsida; Poales; Poaceae
Description: partial small subunit ribosomal RNA
Source: RNAcentral
AUGGAAAUUCCCCCUGCUUAUGAUUCAGAAUUGGACUACGACGAUUCUAUUUUGUUGUAUCGGUUGGUUUGUUCAUUUUGGCCUUCGUGCACUUGGCUUGGUAGGGUUACACCAGCAGAAAGUACAGGGGGUUUGAACUGUACUCGACAGUGGAAUUGGCAUAAAAAUAUUCAGGUAGUUGAUUAUUCUAAUCACGCGUCUGCCUGUUUCUCACAUGUUGUGCAUCAGAAGAGAUAUUGUUCAGGAACAGUAGUUAGAUUAUCCAGGAUUAUGGGCCACUUCCAUAGCCUGGUUCUAGCUAGGCGCAUAUGUUUUCAGAAUUCAGAUAGCGACACUCUAUCUUGUGGAACUGUGCUUGUUUGCAAGUACUCUUUGUCAAAAAUUAAACAGUAA